AAACAAACACUGCAGUGUAUCAUGCAUGUGUGUGUGUGAGAGAGAAUAUCAAUUCAUUCAUUCAUUGUUAGUUUUACCACCACUGGGUCUGAUUCAUUAAGCAAAAGACACACAACACCCUAGACAGGGUACACACACACUUGGACUUGAUGGAGGAAGCUGGAGCAACUGGGGGAAACCCACACAGACACGGGGAGAACAUGCAAACUCCACACAGAAAGGACUCCGGCUGCCAAGCCGGGGAAUCGAACCCAGGACCUUAAUGCUGUGAGGUGACAGUGCUACCCACAGAACCAAUAUAUAUAUAUAUGAUAUGUUUAUUUAAAGGGAUAAAGGAACUGGAGACAUUUUUCCCCCUGAUAUUUAAAUUAGACAACCUGCCAAUUAAAUAAAUCCAACAUUGUCUAA
Molecule: long non-coding RNA, 408 nt
Organism: Trichomycterus rosablanca
Lineage: Eukaryota; Metazoa; Chordata; Actinopteri; Siluriformes; Trichomycteridae
Exons: 2
Source: RefSeq, a predicted model, not a curated record